Molecule: long non-coding RNA, 793 nt
Filed under: Anser brachyrhynchus (Pink-footed goose)
Lineage: Eukaryota; Metazoa; Chordata; Aves; Anseriformes; Anatidae
Description: lncRNA (ENSABRG00000017998.1)
Source: RNAcentral
CUGAUGGGAGCGCACACAGACACAUGAACGCGCACACAUUCCUUUUAGCUAUUUAAGUUAAUCUCUGACAAUGCUUACCUCUGAGACAGCACUUAAUUGGUCAGUAUAACAUCUAAGAUGAUACUGGUUCACCUACUGAGUCUGUGCUGUUUUGAUCUGUCCCCCUGGCAUCCAGCUGAUUGUCUCACAGUGCAGGGCCAUCGUGUCUCGCCCUGGUUUGGCCAUGUCGAACAGCCAGCUGGGGCUGGCUGGGCACUGUGACAGUGUCCAUGCUUGUGUCAGCAGUGGCUUAGUACUUCCUCCAGCACCAGACUCUGAUGGCACUGGAAACACAUUUGGAUUCCCAUUUGUCUGAUCACAGAUUCUCUUGGCCCUGUUUGCUGAUCCACAUGCAAAUACAGCUGGCGUCUCUGCUGCAGGAAAAGCUCGUCGUUAUGCCUCAUACAGCUGCCAUAAACAGUCAAGAAGAAAGGUAUCCAAAUUAUUUGUCAAGAGUCCUGUAAUGCUACAACUGAGAACAUCUCUUCUGUUUCUGUCUUGUCCUCAGAGCCCUUUCUAGCAAGGUACUGUACUGUCAGGGAAAUAGCUGCUAUAUCACAUUACUGCUUUUUCAGUCCUUAUUUCUAUUUACUUAUUUCUGUGAGUUGGUGACUCCAGGGAGGGAGAAAGAACACAAUUGCCACAUGUGCUUCUAUGGAAGAUGAAGCCCCCAGGCAACUGUAGGGCUCCUUGCCCUCAGGAAGGCUUUGGAGUUGGGUUCAGUUUCCAGGUACUGACAAAGGAAUUAAUUGUC